RNAcentral lists this ribosomal RNA (468 nucleotides) under uncultured bacterium. RNAcentral's name for it is "partial 16S ribosomal RNA". It matches the Rfam family "Bacterial small subunit ribosomal RNA", at positions 28 to 507 of the family's 1533-position model. The record is from RNAcentral.
GACGAACGCUGGCGGCGUGCUUAAUACAUGCAAGUCGAACGAAAAGGCCCUGCUCUUGCGGGGUGCUCGAGUGGCGAACGGGUGAGUGACACGUGAGUAAACUGCCCUUUACUUUGGGAUAACUUCAGGGAACUGGGGCUCUAACCCGAUAGGAGCUCCUGCUGCAUGGUGGGGGAUGGUGAAUUACGGCGGUUCGGGAUGGACUCGCGGCUUAUCAGCUUGUUGGUGGGGUAGUGGCUUACAAAGGCUUGGACGGGUAGCCGGCCUGAGAGGGUGACCGGCCACAAUGGGCCUGAGAUACGGCCCAGACUCAUACGGGAGGCAGCAGGGGGGAAUAUUGCAGAAUGGGCGGAAGCAUGAUGCAGCAACGCCGCGUGCGGGAAGACGGCCUUCGGGGUGUAAACCGCUUUCGCCUGUGACGAAGCGUGAGUGACGGUAACGGGUAAAGAAGCAACGGCUAACUACGUG